UUUGGCUUGUCCAUCAUUAUCUAUUUACUGUGAACUGUAUUAUUACUUGACGCUUGAGGGAUGUUCCAAUGCUAUAAGGAUAGGCACUGGAAAUGUUAACCGAGUCAUAAUCAAGCUUAGGCUUGGUAUCCUAUUAUUAUUUACCAAAAGAAUUCAGAAUUAAUAUUGUAACAUAGACGUAAAAAAUCUAUAAAACAACUUUUAACAACGGAUCUCUUGGUUCUCGCAUCGAUGAAGAACGUAGCAAAGUGCGAUAACUAGUGUGAAUUGCAUAUUCAGUGAAUCAUCGAGUCUUUGAACGCAACUUGCGCUCAUUGGUAUUCCAAUGAGCACGCCUGUUUCAGUAUCAAAACAAACCCUCUAUCCAACUUUUGUUGAAUAGGAUGACUGAGAGUCUCUUGAUCUAUUCUGAUCUUGAACCUCUUGAAAUAUACAAAGGCCUGAUCUUGUUUGAAUGCCUGAACUUUUUUUUAAUAUAAAGAGAAGCUCUUGCGAUAAAACUGUGCUGGGGCCUCCCAAAUAACACCUUUCUUAAAAUUGAUUUGAAUUCAGGCGGGAUUACCCGCUGAACUUAAGCAUUUCAAUAAGCGGAGGAAAAGAAACUAACAAUGUUUUCCCUAGUAACGGCGAGUGAAGAGGAAAGAGCUCAAAGUUGGAACCUGUUUGGCUUAGCUAAACCGGAUUGUAAACUGUAGAAGUGUUUUCCAGACACGCCUGGUAAAAAAGUCCUUUGGAACAGGGCAUCAUAGAGGGUGAGAAUCCCGUCUUUGGCCAGAGCUGUUGUCUUUUGUGAUACAUUUUCAAAGAGUCAGGUUGUUUGGGAAUGCAGCCUAAAUUGGGUGGUAAAUCUCACCUAAAGCUAAAUAUUUGCGAGAGACCGAUAGCGAACAAGUACCGUGAGGGAAAGAUGAAAAGAACUUUGAAAAGAGAGUUAAACAGUAUGUGAAAUUGUUAAAAGGGAACCGUUUGGAGCCAGACUGGCUUGACUGUAAUCAAUCUAGGCUUCGGCCUGGAUGCACUUGCGGUUUAUGCCUGCCAACGACAAUUUUUUUUGAGGGAAAAAACUAUUAGGAAUGUGGCCCCCCUCGGGGGGUGUUAUAGCCUUUUAGAAAAUACCUUGAAUUGGAUUGAGGAACGCAGUGAAUGCCUUUUUAAGGCAAGAUUGCUGGGCGCUUUCGCUAAUAAAUGCUAGAAUUUCUGCUUUGGGUGGUGCUAGUGUUUAAAGGAGAAACUCGCUUGGUAUAUUUUUUAUUCGCUUAGGUUGUUGGCUUAAUGACUCUAAAUGACCCGUCUUGAAACACGGACCAAGGAGUCCACCAUUAGUGCGAGUAUUUGGGUGCCAAACCCAUAUGCGUAAGGAAACUGAUUGAUACGAAAUCCUUGAGAUGGCAGUAUCACCCGGCGAUGACGUUUUAUACUGAACCGACCGAGGUAAAGCACUAAUGAUGGGACCCGAAAGAUGGUGAACUAUGCCUGAAUAGGGUGAAGCCGGAGGAAACUCCGGUGGAGGCUCGUAGCGAUUCUGACGUGCAAAUCGA
This 1538-nucleotide small RNA is filed under the name Circinomucor sp. 1 ERP-2018. Its description in RNAcentral is "partial 28S ribosomal RNA". The stretch from base 539 to 1538 matches the Rfam family "Eukaryotic large subunit ribosomal RNA", at positions 1 to 901 of the family's 3401-position model. Lineage: Eukaryota; Fungi; Mucoromycota; Mucoromycetes; Mucorales; Mucoraceae. The record is from RNAcentral.